This is a long non-coding RNA of Cannabis sativa, 612 nucleotides long. RefSeq lists it as uncharacterized. The record is from RefSeq and is a predicted model, not a curated record. NCBI's taxonomy places the organism in Eukaryota, Viridiplantae, Streptophyta, Magnoliopsida, Rosales, Cannabaceae. The transcript has 3 exons.
CCUUUAUUUUCAUAAAUAUAUCUUUAUUGACUUUUUUAAUUUUUCUUGCUGAAUUAGUCUUCUCCUUCCUCUGGAACUUGGGUGCCUUCUGCGACUUGGGCUAGAGCAAAAGAAUGUUAACCUUUUGGCCUCACUCGAUCGACCUCAACAUCAUGGCCGCCGUGGCCUGUGAACUCCCGUUUGGUUUGAAGAGGCAACAUAGCGUUGAGUACUGUAUCUGAAAUGGCUGACGCAUUUUUUGUGCCCUUCUUUUCAUCUUUGAAUUUUAAUACUCAUGGCCAUAACAUGAGUACUGAUCGGGUUGAUCGUCAAUUGCAGCUCAUGGUUUACCACCUUCCCUGGCCUUAAUUAGUCGUUCGUAAUCUUAUGGAGCAGGCCAGGUUUGCUUAUUUAUGCACCAUAAUGUCUUGAAUGAACCAUCAGCAUGAAAGAUUGGUUCGCUCGUAGAUUUUGCACCUGAUCCUGCACCUCUCAUGCAAAGUCACGGCAAGAUUUAUAAUACGAGAGUGAUUCGGGCUCUUGAAACUGAAGCAUGUAAUAGCCAAAGAUAGAAUACUAGUCAAUACUUUAAUAUUUUACCCACCAUACUAAUACAAUUUUAUUUUCAUUCAA